RNAcentral lists this ribosomal RNA (528 nucleotides) under uncultured bacterium. RNAcentral describes it as "bacterial SSU rRNA". It matches the Rfam family "Bacterial small subunit ribosomal RNA", at positions 19 to 518 of the family's 1533-position model. The record is from RNAcentral.
CUGGCUCAGGACGAACGCUGGCGGCGGUGCCUAAUACAUGCAAGUCGAACGAACGGAUUGAGGAGCUUGCUCUUCAAGAAGUUAGUGGCGGACGGGUGAGUAACACGUGGGUAACCUGCCCUUCAGCGGGGGGAUAACAUCCGGAAACGGGUGCUAAUACCGCAUAGUUUCUUUUUCCGCCUGGAAGAAGAAGGAAAGAUGGCCUUUGUGCUAUCACUGAGGGAUGGACCCGCGGCGUAUUAGUUAGUUGGUGGGGUAAUGGCCUACCAAGACGAUGAUACGUAGCCGACCUGAGAGGGUGAUCGGCCACAUUGGGACUGAGACACGGCCCAAACUCCUACGGGAGGCAGCAGUAGGGAAUCUUCCGCAAUGGACGAAAGUCUGACGGAGCAAACCGCCGCGUGAGUGAAGUAAGGUUUUCGGAUACGUAAAACUCUGUUGUCGGAGAAGAACAAGUAGGAGAGUAACUGUUCCUACCUUGACGGUACCCGACCAGAAAGCCACGGCUAACUACGUGCCAGCCGCCGC